GCGGGAGGAAGACGAGGUCACGUGACUGAGAGAGACGUCAUGCCGUGUUCCUUCUCCUUUGCCGGUCUCCGAGGACCGCUCUGCUUGUACCUGUCAGAUGUCUUCUCCUGCUUUCUCUACGGCUACUGUCAAGCAUUCCACGAUAAGCUCUUGGCACAGUGUCAGGGGCAACUAUUAGACGAACAAAAGAGUGAGUUUGGGCAGAUUUGGAGGUUGGAUAUUAUUCGGCAAGUUUGUGGGUGGUGGCGGUGGUUGAUUUGUUGGGCCAGUUCGUUGGAGUACGGUAUGUACAAGAGCAUACAAGUUGGGGCGUUUGCGGUGUCUGAAAGCAGUGGUGGGUUUACUACCAGAAGGCGCCAUCAUACGCCAAGCUACAGUACUUGUAGGAAUGGACUCCAACCGUCUUUCGACUUGCUCUUUUCUGGAGCAAUUUCUAACCGAGACAUAAUUUCGGUAUUGCUUGCAUCCCAUACUGUACUGUACAGUAUUGAAUACGAAUGAGCACGAUAUGAAGCCGAUAUGACACGAUAACUCAACAAAUACACAUGACAACAAUGUGCGGGUUCAGUCGACACGGUCAAUUACAGCAUUGUGCAAGUUUCCUGUACUCCUACCCUCAAGAAACGACCUUGUCACCACUCGGCCUCCUCCUCCAGACCACCAAGCUCAUCGGUCCCUCACACCUCCAGACCACCAAGCUCAUCAGACCAACCGAUGCACUCUAAACGGCGCUAAAAGGGCACUAAGGCAACUCACACUUUAACACUCACCCUAACUGCCACGCUGGAUGCAAGGUUCGGCGAUGAUCAAGGCUAUUAAGUGGGAUGAGAUGUUGGGCUUGGAAAAUGGCAACAAACAAAAGCCGUUAGCGAAUACGGCGGCAGUGUGCGGAAAUGGGCAGUUUUUGUUUGUGUGCGAGAUUGGCGGAUUUGUGCGAGAUUGGCGUGAUUCUGCGAUUCCAAUGUCCGCGUAUCGCCCCUCCCCGUCUUGUGGCAUUCACAUGAUCACGUCAAUGUCACCCGUCCCGUCCAGAUGUAACCUGUGUCAGCGCCUCAGUAUAUUUUUUUAGACUAAUUUCUAGAAUUGUGUCAAGGCGGAAAUUUAGGGUUAGGACAGAGGGAGCCGAGACGCAUCUUUACUUUGGCCAGAGCAAGCGAUCAAUGGGCUAUUAGGCGGGGAAAAGGGGGUUUUUUGGACGUUUUGUUGUCAUUUCCGUGUCGUCUAAGUGAUUGCGAGCUUUUUUGCGCCCGUUUUGUCCGGUAUUCUGCCCGUUAGAGGCCCCUUUUGCCAUUUAUCUGUCCUACACUUCCCACCAAGACUCUAAAUAUAAAGCCAGUAGACUAGUUACUUUUUCUAACGGCGUUUCCACGAGCCGAGGCCCGUUGCGACAAGACCCCAGCUCCACCGCCGCACGCCAACGCCUUGGGCACGUGUUGAGCAGUGAGCGCUCUGAUGACUCGGCCGUCCCGUCCACGUCUCUCUGCUUAUUCAGCUGGUGCAAACGGGGCUUGCAAACCCCCCGAAUGCACGAUCGGCAGCCGGAGAUUUGGCCCUAUCCAAACAAGGCGACAGACAAGGAGCCUCGGCUGAUAAAGCGGAUAAAGCGGGCAGUGAAGAAUGCAGAUUUUCGAGCGUGCGGUAUCGCGGCAUGCAGGAGAAGCCGAAAAGACGCACAUGUCGGAGCUCUCGAUGCACAACUUGACCCGUGGUUAUUUUUAGCUGCCACGAGCGAUGGUUAAGGCGAUGGUGUUUGCGGAAGCGAAGGAAGCGAGAUGUGGAGGAUUGUUAACAAAGUUGACGUACCUAGUACGCCUAUAUACAAAGAACAAGACAUUAU
This 1837-nucleotide unclassified non-coding RNA is filed under the name Yarrowia lipolytica. The record is from RNAcentral. Lineage: Eukaryota; Fungi; Ascomycota; Dipodascomycetes; Dipodascales.